This 441-nucleotide ribosomal RNA is filed under the name uncultured bacterium. Its description in RNAcentral is "bacterial SSU rRNA". It matches the Rfam family "Bacterial small subunit ribosomal RNA", at positions 339 to 795 of the family's 1533-position model. The record is from RNAcentral.
UUACGGGAGGCAGCAGUAAGGAAUUUUCUGCAAUGGGCGAAAGCCUGACAGAGCAAUACCGCGUGAGGGAUGAAGGCCUAUGGGUUGUAAACCUCUUUUCUCAAGGAGGAAGAACUGACGUUACUUGAGGAAUAAGCAUCGGCUAACCCUGUGCCAGCAGCCGCGGUAAUACAGGGGAUGCGAGUGUUAUCCGGAAUUAUUGGGCGUAAAGCGUCUGCAGGUGGAUUUGUAAGUCUUUUGGUAAAACUCCAGGCUUAACCUGGAAUCUGCAAAAGAAACUAUUUAUCUAGAGUAUGGUAGAGGUAAAGGGAAUUUCUAGUGGAGCGGUGAAAUGCGUAGAUAUUAGAAAGAACACCAAUAGCGAAGGCACCUUACUGGGCCAUUACUGACACUCAGAGACGAAAGCUAGGGGAGCAAACAGGAUUAGAUACCCGUGUAGUC